Molecule: transfer RNA, 72 nt
Filed under: Sus scrofa (pig)
Lineage: Eukaryota; Metazoa; Chordata; Mammalia; Artiodactyla; Suidae
Rfam family: tRNA
About the family: Transfer RNA (tRNA) molecules are approximately 80 nucleotides in length.
Source: Rfam by way of RNAcentral
UCCCUGGUGGUCUAGUGGUUAGGAUUUGGCACUUGCACUGCUGCGGCCUGAGUUUGAUCCCUGGCCUGGGAA